AUUGAACGCUGGCGGCAGGCCUAACACAUGCAAGUCGAGCGGAUGAAGGGAGCUUGCUCCUGGAUUCAGCGGCGGACGGGUGAGUAAUGCCUAGGAAUCUGCCUGGUAGUGGGGGAUAACGUCCGGAAACGGGCGCUAAUACCGCAUACGUCCUGAGGGAGAAAGUGGGGGAUCUUCGGACCUCACGCUAUCAGAUGAGCCUAGGUCGGAUUAGCUAGUUGGUGGGGUAAAGGCCUACCAAGGCGACGAUCCGUAACUGGUCUGAGAGGAUGAUCAGUCACAGUGGGAAAGAGGCGCGGUGCGGACGAAUACGGGACGAAGGAGUGGGGGUUAUUGGAGAAGGAGCGAAAAUAUGAACCAGCCAUAAGGGGGGAGUAAAGAAAGCAUUCGAGUUGUAAAGUCCUUUUAGUGUGAAAGAAAAGCAACAAGUUCAUACCCCGCUGCUAUGACGGGACCCAAAAAAUAAGCACGGCCCAAUUUCGUG
Molecule: ribosomal RNA, 484 nt
Filed under: uncultured bacterium
Lineage: Bacteria
Description: partial 16S ribosomal RNA
Rfam family: Bacterial small subunit ribosomal RNA
Source: RNAcentral